AGAGCGAACGCUGGCGGCAUGCUUAACACAUGCAAGUCUCACGGGCAGCAAUGUCAGUGGCGGACGGGUGAGUAACGCGUAGGUAUCUAUCCAUGGGUGGGGGAUAACGUCGGGAAACUGACGCUAAUACCGCAUGACAUCUGAGGAUCAAAGGCGCGAGUCGCCUGUGGAGGAGCCUGCGUACGAUUAGCUAGUUGGUGGGUAAAGGCCUACCAAGGCUACGAUCGUUAGCUGGUCUGAGAGGAUGAUCAGCCACACUGGGACUGAGACACGGCCCAGACUCCUACGGGAGGCAGCAGUGGGGAAUAUUGGACAAUGGGCGAAAGCCUGAUCCAGCAAUGCCGCGUGUGUGAAGAAGGUCUUCGGAUUGUAAAGCACUUUCGGCGGGGACGAUGAUGACGGUACCCGCAGAAGAAGCCCCGGCUAACUUCGCGCCAGCAGCCGCGGUAA
This 450-nucleotide ribosomal RNA is filed under the name uncultured bacterium. RNAcentral's name for it is "SSU rRNA". It matches the Rfam family "Bacterial small subunit ribosomal RNA", at positions 26 to 523 of the family's 1533-position model. The record is from RNAcentral.